RNAcentral lists this ribosomal RNA (505 nucleotides) under uncultured Desulfobulbus sp. RNAcentral's name for it is "bacterial SSU rRNA". It matches the Rfam family "Bacterial small subunit ribosomal RNA", at positions 903 to 1382 of the family's 1533-position model. Lineage: Bacteria; Pseudomonadati; Thermodesulfobacteriota; Desulfobulbia; Desulfobulbales; Desulfobulbaceae. The record is from RNAcentral.
UUGCCAGCCCGCUCAGAAACUUAAAGGAAUUGACGGGGCCCGCACAAGCGGUGGAGUAUGUGGUCUAAUCGAUGCAACGCGAAGAACCUUACCUGGUCUUGACAUCCCGGAGACCCUUAGGAAACUAGGGGGUGCUUCCAUCUGGAAGAAUCUGGAGACAGGUGCUGCAUGGCUGUCGUCAGCUCGUGUCGUGAGAUGUUGGGUUAAGUCCCGCAACGAGCGCAACCCUUGCCUUUAGUUGCCAGCAGUUCGGCUGGGCACUCUAAAGGGACUGCCGGUGUUAAACCGGAGGAAGGUGGGGAUGACGUCAAGUCCUCAUGGCCUUUAUGACCAGGGCUACACACGUACUACAAUGGCCGAUACAAAGGGCAGCGACACUGCGAGGUGAAGCCAAUCCCGUAAAAUCGGUCUCAGUCCGGAUUGGAGUCUGCAACUCGACUCCAUGAAGUUGGAAUCGCUAGUAAUCGUGGAUCAGCAUGCCACGGUGAAUACGUUCCCGGGCCUU